CGGAACGGGUGAGUAAUAUAUCGGAACGUACCCAAGAGUGGGGGACAACCAGUCGAAAGAUUGGCUAAUACCGCAUACGAUCUAAGGAUGAAAGUGGGGGACCUUCGGGCCUCACGCUCCUGGAGCGGCCGAUAGCUGAUUAGCUAGUUGGUGGGGUAAAGGCCUACCAAGGCGAUGAUCAGUAGCUGGUCUGAGAGGACGAUCAGCCACACUGGGACUGAGACACGGCCCAG
RNAcentral lists this ribosomal RNA (233 nucleotides) under uncultured bacterium. RNAcentral describes it as "partial 16S ribosomal RNA". It matches the Rfam family "Bacterial small subunit ribosomal RNA", at positions 100 to 334 of the family's 1533-position model. The record is from RNAcentral.